AAAGUAACGUGUAGCCAAGGACAACUUGCCGAUCAUGUUACUUUUUCUUUUUGGUUUUAUAUAUCUUGUAUUUUAUACGGAAUAAUAUAUCCUAAUUUCUUCCUGAAUCCUUCAAAAACCAAAAAAAAAAAAAAAAGUUUGAAACUAAAUUGUCUUAAUAGAGUAUAAAGAAAGAUCAUUUAAAUCGGCAAGUCAUCCUUGGCUGCACACUACUUUCG
This 218-nucleotide microRNA precursor is filed under the name Arabidopsis thaliana (thale cress). The record is from RNAcentral. RNAcentral also lists the same sequence under 1 other name. Lineage: Eukaryota; Viridiplantae; Streptophyta; Magnoliopsida; Brassicales; Brassicaceae.